CACUGUCACUCCUACGGGGAGGCAGCAGUGGGGGAAUAUUGCACAAUGGGCGCAAGCCUGAUGCAGCCAUGCCGCGUGUGUGAAGAAGGCCUUCGGGUUGUAAAGCACUUUCAGUUGUGAGGAAGGUGGUGUCGUUAAUAGCGGCAUCAUUUGACGUUAGCAACAGAAGAAAGCACCGGCUAACUCCGUGCCAGCAGCCGCGGUAAUACGGAGGGUGCGAGCGUUAAUCGGAAUUACUGGGCGUAAAGCGCAUGCAGGUGGUUUGUUUAAGUCAGAUGUGAAAGACCCGGGGCUCAACCUCGGAACUGCAUUUGAAACUGGCAGACUAGAGUACUGUAGAGGGGGGUAGGAAUUUCAGGUGUAGCGGUGAAAUGCGUAGAGAUCUGAAGGAAUACCGGUGGCGAAGGCGGCCCCCUGGACAGAUACUGACACUCAGAUGCGAAAGCGUGGGGAGCAAACAGGAUUAGAUACCCUGGUAG
RNAcentral lists this ribosomal RNA (479 nucleotides) under uncultured bacterium. Its description in RNAcentral is "bacterial SSU rRNA". It matches the Rfam family "Bacterial small subunit ribosomal RNA", at positions 325 to 793 of the family's 1533-position model. The record is from RNAcentral.